RNAcentral lists this transfer RNA (83 nucleotides) under Aquificota bacterium. RNAcentral's name for it is "Aquificae bacterium (hydrothermal vent metagenome) tRNA-Leu". It matches the Rfam family "tRNA". From Rfam's summary of the family: Transfer RNA (tRNA) molecules are approximately 80 nucleotides in length. Their secondary structure includes four short double-helical elements and three loops (D, anti-codon, and T loops). Further hydrogen bonds mediate the characteristic L-shaped molecular structure. tRNAs have two regions of fundamental functional importance: the anti-codon, which is responsible for specific mRNA codon recognition, and the 3' end, to which the tRNAs corresponding amino acid is attached (by aminoacyl-tRNA synthetases). tRNAs cope with the degeneracy of the genetic code in two manners: having more than one tRNA (with a specific anti-codon) for a particular amino acid; and 'wobble' base-pairing, i.e. permitting non-standard base-pairing at the 3rd anti-codon position. Lineage: Bacteria; Pseudomonadati; Aquificota. The record is from RNAcentral.
GCGGGCGUGGCGGAACUGGCAGACGCGGCGGAUUUAAAAUCCGCUGGCCGUAAGGCCGUCCGGGUUCGACUCCCGGCGCCCGC